UACGUAGGUGACAAGCGUUGUCCGGAUUUACUGGGCGUAAAGAGCGCGCAGGCGGUCGUUCAAGUCGAGUGGGAAAGCCCCCGGCUCAACUGGGGAGGGUCAUUCGAUACUGAUCGACUCGAAGGCAGGAGAGGGUAGUGGAAUUCCCGGUGUAGUGGUGAAAUGCGUAGAUACCGGGAGGAACACCAGUGGCGAAGGCGACUACCUGGCCUGUUCUUGACGCUGAGGCGCGAAAGCUAGGGGAGCAAACGGG
RNAcentral lists this ribosomal RNA (253 nucleotides) under uncultured bacterium. RNAcentral describes it as "partial 16S ribosomal RNA". It matches the Rfam family "Bacterial small subunit ribosomal RNA", at positions 524 to 776 of the family's 1533-position model. The record is from RNAcentral.